ACAAGAAGCAGGUUUACAAAGGUUUAGGCUUCUAGAAUAUAUACAUAGGUAUAAAAACAAAAAGCAGAAAUUAUGACAAAUUAAAAAUAUUCAAUGAUCUACAUUCAUUUGUUAAAAGCUUUUUAGUUUGUAGUCUUGAAAAUAUUACAAACAUGUCACCAGGAGUUUUUGUCCAACAGCGAUGGCUACUGUAUCUGUUAGCUUAGCUACAGACGAAUGUUAGCCUCCAACUCACUAUCCAUUUAAUCUCUGAAAACAAAUAUUUAUAAAGAUAUUCAUAACUUUAACUUGUCACUGACUUUAAUCACAUUUACCAACAGAUGGAGUUAACCGUGACGUCAGCCUGUAGUUCGUUUUCAAAAACACUAGAUGGCGCCGCUCUUCGCACUGACUUAUAGCCAAAUAAAAAAAUCAUGUCGAAGUAGAAAGCGCAGCAGUGUUUCGUGUGCAAAUGAUUCUUCCGGUUAGAAGUCGCAGCUAAUGUUAAAAAUUAUUUUAUAAAUUUAUUUGGAGAAAUACAAUAGGAACAUAAAGUUGUACAACUGCAAAAAUGAACAAAAAAUAUCCGUGGGCUAGUCUGACCUGUCAGUGAUUAAAGCUUUUGUGAUUAUGUCGACUUGAACAUGUUAGCUUAGCUAGGUUAGCCCCGACUCCUCCUGUGAAGCAGAUGAGUCAAAGUCAGCAGCAGCCAUGACCUCUGACCCCGCAGACCAGCCUUCCUCCUCCUCGUGAAGCAGGUGACUUGUACCUGAGUCCCCCGACCGACAGGUGUCCGUAGGAGCUGCUGGCGGCUGAACUGGACCGGGAGUUGUUGAUGUACGCCACCAAGGAGUUGGGCGAAGUUCUGAUCAUGGUCUGGAGGUCGAUGC
Long non-coding RNA from Gambusia affinis (western mosquitofish), 869 nucleotides. RefSeq lists it as uncharacterized. The transcript has 3 exons. Lineage: Eukaryota; Metazoa; Chordata; Actinopteri; Cyprinodontiformes; Poeciliidae. The record is from RefSeq and is a predicted model, not a curated record.